Long non-coding RNA from Ornithodoros turicata, 925 nucleotides. RefSeq lists it as uncharacterized. The record is from RefSeq and is a predicted model, not a curated record. NCBI's taxonomy places the organism in Eukaryota, Metazoa, Arthropoda, Arachnida, Ixodida, Argasidae. The transcript is spliced from 2 exons.
AUAGUGAGCGUCUUUUCACUCUGUUCAAGUGUUCGUUUUCCUCUGUUGCCCAACAGUCGUGCGAAUUUGUCCUGACGUGUCCUGACAUGCCCCGAUAUGCAUGGUUUCCUUUGUUAACGCUUUGUAUUUUGUCUUUUUUGACAAGGAACAUUGUCGUCUUGACGAUAGUGCUGCCCUGAGUUCUGCGCGCGUUGAUUUGUUGAGUGCCUAGUCCUCUUAUUAGCCGUUGAUGGGGUUACAUGUUGGGAUAUUUUGUUCUUUUGCAAGUCUCAUUUAGUAAGACUUUGGAAUUCCUACGAUCAAGUUUCAUGCAUGGUGCUCUUCUGCAAUAGUUUCCUAUGCGAUCGUUAUAGAAGAAUAAAGGAAAUAACCUUGGGAUAGUGAUUCAAUAAAUAAUAGGUCCCCUGUCUAGAGCGCACGCGUCCUUGAGCCACGCAGGUGCAUGAGGACGUCAUACCGUGGCUUCACUGCAGAUUGACCUUGUCUAGAGGAGCAUUAGUGGAAAAAAACAGUGUAGCCCUGAGACAAUAGGAUGAUGUCUGGACCAAUGAGAACGGCCAGCAGGGGGCGCAGGAAUGCUCUUCUCUCUUAGCCUCUCGCAGGUGGCGGUAGGAGCGCGCAGAGGGCGCUACGAGCGCGCGCAUGCGUAGCACCCGUAGAGUGGCGUUUACGUCAGUCCACCUCUGGCUCUCGUUGGGAGAAGACGUGCGGUCGUUCGCUCCGUCGUCACUUGAUCCCUGGCUGUCGACGAGAGCGGACGCUCCGUCGCAGCGGGGAAAAAGAGCUACGAUGCUGGCGCCAUCUGGUGUGAUGCCUUGGAACUAGCGUGCCACCUGCCUCUGCAACCGUCGUGCUCCAGUCGCCCCGGCGUGAUUUCUUCAAGAUGGCGUCGUUGAUUUUCAAAUAAAUCAUUUCCUACUGUCUG